CCCUCUGGGGCGCUAUUAGGGGGGGCGACGCACUUCUUUGGCUAUCCGAUCACGCCGGCGCGCGAGAUAGCCCACGCGGCGGCGCUCCAUUUCACGAGAACGGGAAGGCGUUUUCUUCAGGCCGAGGACGAAGUGAACGCGGUGAACAUGAUUUACGGCGCCGCCGCUGCCGGAGCGAGGGUCAUGACGGCUUCUUCGGGGCCGGGCAUCUCCCUCAUGGCGGAGGGGGUCUCCUAUCUCGCGGGGGCGGAGCUUCCCGCGGUCAUCAUCGACGUUCAGCGGGCGGGAGGGC
This 292-nucleotide ribosomal RNA is filed under the name uncultured prokaryote. Its description in RNAcentral is "partial 16S ribosomal RNA". The record is from RNAcentral.